ACCCUUUGACUUUGGGGUGCAGUAAAUGCUUUCGUCUUUUUAAUACAUGCUAGUAAAUUGCGAACAGGUGAGUUAAUCCGUUUUACAAAGCGGUUUGUUACCAGGAUUAUUAUUAUCUAGUUAAUAAAAGAAUUCCUAAGACAACAAGAUUUAUCCACAGCUUCACUGAAACAAUGGGAGCCAGCAGGCAGCAGUAUAGAAUAUUGUACAAUUGAUUAUUAUCAGAUACAGAAAGACAAUAAGAGUUGUCGAAUCAGGUGCCAGCAGACGCGGUUAUACCUGAGACUCGAGUUUUACAGAAUAAAAAGGCUCAAAGAGUGUGUAAGAUCUAACCAUCUAAAAAACAUAUAAUUUUGGUACAGAAAUCAAAUCCAAUAAAACGAAACAGAAUCUCAUUUUGUAAGAAAUGUUUUUACGACAGAAACACCAAAUAAUAGACAGCCAAUGGGAUUAGAUACCCCAGUAACCUAUUACCUAAAUUUAGUAAUGCUUCUAAAGCAGUGUUCCGCCUGAGUAGUAUAAUCAAUUGAUUGAAAUUCAAAAAGUCUGGCUGUUUGUUUUCCGAUCAGAGGAUUGUGUAGUUUUAUAUGAUAAUCCGCAGAGUACCUUACCUUUCUUUGAUAACUAGGUGCUGCAUGGUCGUCUUCAGUUUAUGUAUAAUACAUUAAUAAUCUUAACCUUCAAAAGCUGAAGUCAGAUAGUAUGGCCCUAAUAGAAAGGGAUUUAUGCAAUACAAUUUUCUCAGAAAAAAUUAAGUAAACGGAAGAGAUUUGCAAAUUCUCAGAAGUUGAAUUUGACAGUAAUUGAAGACGAUAAAGCUUCAAUGAAUAGGUUCAGACAUUAGUACAAAUUGCCCGUCACCUUUAACAACUUACUCGUUCAAUAGGUUAGAAGUUAAAGCAAGUCGUAACAUAGUGAGGGAAAGGGAACUUUUCCUUGAGACAAACGUUUAAUA
This 955-nucleotide ribosomal RNA is filed under the name Aurelia sp. 4 sensu Dawson et al. (2005). RNAcentral describes it as "12S ribosomal RNA". It matches the Rfam family "Bacterial small subunit ribosomal RNA". Lineage: Eukaryota; Metazoa; Cnidaria; Scyphozoa; Semaeostomeae; Ulmaridae. The record is from RNAcentral.